UACGUAGGGUGCAAGCGUUGUCCGGAAUUAUUGGGCGUAAAGAGCUUGUAGGCGGUUUGUCGCGUCUGCUGUGAAAAUCCGGGGCUCAACCCCGGACUUGCAGUGGGUACGGGCAGGCUUGAGUGUGGUAGGGGAGACUGGAAUUCCUGGUGUAGCGGUGGAAUGCGCAGAUAUCAGGAGGAACACCGAUGGCGAAGGCAGGUCUCUGGGCCACUACUGACGCUGAGAAGCGAAAGCAUGGGGAGCGAACAGG
RNAcentral lists this ribosomal RNA (253 nucleotides) under uncultured bacterium. Its description in RNAcentral is "partial 16S ribosomal RNA". It matches the Rfam family "Bacterial small subunit ribosomal RNA", at positions 524 to 776 of the family's 1533-position model. The record is from RNAcentral.